GCUACGGGUGGCUGCAGUGAGGAAUAUUGGUCAAUGGGCGGAAGCCUGAACCAGCCAAGUAGCGUGCAGGAUGACGGCCCUACGGGUUGUAAACUGCUUUUAUACGGGAAUAAAGCGCCUUACGUGUAGGGCUUUGCAUGUACCGUAUGAAUAAGGACCGGCUAAUUCCGGGCCAGCAGCCGCGGUAAUACGGAAGGUCCGGGCGUUAUCCGGAUUUAUUGGGGUUCAAGGGAGCGUAGGCGGCAUGUCAAGCGUGCUGUGCAAUGUCCGGGCUCAACCCGGGCCUUGCAGCGCGAACUGGCGUGCUUUAGUCCGCGUACAGCAGGCGGACUUCGUCGUGUAGCGGU
RNAcentral lists this ribosomal RNA (347 nucleotides) under uncultured bacterium. Its description in RNAcentral is "partial 16S ribosomal RNA". It matches the Rfam family "Bacterial small subunit ribosomal RNA", at positions 338 to 682 of the family's 1533-position model. The record is from RNAcentral.